RNAcentral lists this ribosomal RNA (639 nucleotides) under Triticum aestivum (bread wheat). Its description in RNAcentral is "partial small subunit ribosomal RNA". Lineage: Eukaryota; Viridiplantae; Streptophyta; Magnoliopsida; Poales; Poaceae. The record is from RNAcentral.
AUGUCCUCCCCACCAUCGCCGCCGCCGGCGAGACGGCCGCCAGCCGCUCGAACCACCAUAUGCGCUCUCGGCGACGACCUGCUCCGCGCGAUCUUCGCCCGCCUCCCCGACCUCCCGAACGUCGCCCGCGCCGCCUUCACGUGUCGCGCCUUCCUCGGUGUCGUCCGCUCGUCCCCCGCUUUCCGCCGCCGUUUCCGCUCGCUCCGCGCGCCGCCCUUCCUCGCGUUCUUCGUCGAGCGCGAGAUGGACGCGCUCCCGGUCUACCCAUCCCCCUGGCGCCCCUCCGACCCAGGCCUCGCCGCCGCCUUCCGCGACGCCGAUUUCCUCCAGACCCGCAGCAUGCGCUGCCCUCCCGCCGACCACCUUGGAUGGGAGUUCGACUACAGCUUGAACGGCGAGAUCCACAUCGCCCACCGGAAGCAGCGAGCCAGCUACAGCCCACUCACGCAGGCCCUGACCCUCUUCCCCGACACCCAGAUCCUGUCGGACGGCAGCUACCUUGAGCUCCACACGCUCUCCCACCAGGAGGAACAGGGGCUGCAGCGUGUGGUCGCGGGCGCGCGUGGCCGUGUUCUCAUCGCACACCAUGGAGUGGCAUAUUUUUCCAUGGGUGGAAACAAGGGCCCUGGUGCCCAAUGA